Molecule: long non-coding RNA, 2981 nt
Organism: Lycium barbarum (goji berry)
Lineage: Eukaryota; Viridiplantae; Streptophyta; Magnoliopsida; Solanales; Solanaceae
Exons: 3
Source: RefSeq, a predicted model, not a curated record
UCUCAUUUCAUUGAAUUAGGUAUUGAAACCCUAGCCGCCUGAUCACACUCCUCUCUCUCUUCGUCAUCUCUAGACGAAAAUGGCAAAAGUGCAAAAGCCAUUUGCUUUUACAGACUAUGCGUGGUUGUUUGGGGAAAGGGAAUUAACGCCCCGUCCUUCCUCCACCGUGUUUCAACCGUUGAAGAGUGUUUCGAGGGGCUUGGAAGAGAUUCUCAAUUCCAUUCUCGACAAGGGCUGCACACGAAAAAGGUUCAGGUAGUCGGACAGACGAUCCAGCUCAGUAGGCCUUCCACUCAGCCGCGGUCAGUGCACUCCACUUGGUCCGGAGCUGCAGUGCCUUCUUGGUAUGCUAUUUUGACAUGUAUAUACGGAUAUGACGGGUUAUGUCCUGUCCUUCCGAUAGCUCAUGUUUCCUAGAGGUUUGUGGACAGUUGUACGUUGUUGGGGAUGUUAUGUAGCCUUGUCGGCUCUCAUUUUGUUGUGCAGCAUUCAUGGCAGCCUCGUCGACUUGCUCAGUUGUGUAGUUAUAUUUGGGUGUUUGCCCAGUUUGGAAAAGAUGAUCUGUCUGUGUGUGUGUGUGUCUGUGUGUGUGUGUGUAUAUAUAUCCAGAUUACAACCUCGUCGGCUUGUUGGUAAUAUUUGUGUGCAGGUAGGCCUUAUUGGUUUAAGUCGGGGGUUACUCCCAGAGUUGCAGAUUUAGAGUGGUUCGCUCGGGCCUAGGCAGGCAUCGAGUGCCGGUCACGCGACUCCGGAUUUGGGGUGUGACAAACUUGGUAUCAGAGCAGUUCUGUCCUAGGGUUGUCUACAGACUGUGUCCAGUAGAGUCUUGUUUAUGGUUGUGAAGCGCGCCACACUUAUAAACAAGCGGCUGCAGGGCAUUUAGGAACCAUUGACCUUCCCUUUCUAUCUUAGAUCGUGCGAUAUAGCUAGCAUCUAGGAAAGAUCGCUUCUGAUACUCUUUUCCUGUAGGUGAGAAAAGAUUGGUAGAGAUGAAGAGAUCGGCCUCAGACGGUGGGGGUGCCAAGAAGACCCCUAGAGUGGAUUCAGGACCACAGAUUCAGGGACCGAGCAGGGGGGGCCUUAGCUAUUCCCUUGAGACAGAUCCCUCUGAGGACCCUGCGACAAUUCCCCCAAAGUUUUUGACUUCUACGGAGGAGGAUCCAUCGGAGGACAGCUAUGACACGGACCCGUCUGAGAGUUCAUAUGGGACUCCACAGGGGGAGAUUUUCGAGACUGUACUAGAGUUGACUCCCCCAGCUGCUCCUAUAGCAGAGCACUAUGUCAGGCCAGCUACGCCUGAGAGUGUUACUGAUUAUUCUAGCCUAUUAUCUUGGUCGUCAGUAAACCAGGAGCUGCCUGAAUAUCCGUAUCCCUCGGACUCAAAUGAGAGAGAUGAGGAGGGCCAGACUAGCAGAUGGCGGGAGGACAAUGAAGAGGACACUUCACUUUACAGCCCUCUAGACCAAGAGCAGGACAGGCCGGCUACAGGCAUAUGGGUCUUUUAUUGAAAUUUCUUAUGUGUGUACAAUUAUUGCAGGAUAUCAUUAAUAGGUGACAAAUGGGAGUUUUAGAGGAAUCGAUAACCAAAAUACUUAUCGAUAACUGCAACUAAGAUGUUUUGGCCUUAUUAGGAAUCUUAAAUUUAGGAAUGGAAGACAGUCGUGUGUUGAUCGAUGGUUAUUAUUAAGAGUUUUGAAGGCUAAACCAGCAUUUGCUCGACCAGGAAAGUAAGGGAUCUUUCCAAUCCGGAGGGAGAUGCAUUAUAGGAAUUUUAUUGGGAUCCGUUAGAAGUUUAAUUUGUUCUAGGUCAUGCGAUAAAGGUCACGCAGCAGGGUGGAUGUGAUCGUACCAGCAUUAACGCACCGGAUCUCAUGAGGACUCCAAAGUUAAGCGUACUGGGGUGAGAGUAAUACUAGGAUGGGUGACCCCCUGGGAAGUGUACUAAGAGUCUUACCAAUUCGGACAUAAGAGAAGGAUGAGGGACUAGAAUAACUUGAGGGAAAUCAGAAACGUGUGAAACUCACGGGUUGAAACCCCAAAUGAUUGUGAGAGAUAAGGCGGACCGGCUUGGCAAAGAGAGAGAAGACGUAUUAUAGCUACAGAACUAGAACGAGUUUAAAAUAGUAUUGCGAAUAUUUUGUAGGUUUUUUUUUUUAAAUUAAGGUCAGUGAGCAGGGCCCACUGACUAUUUUAUUGAUUUAGUAGGAAAAGACAAAUAGUUCAAAAGUAAAACAAAACCAAAAAAACAAAAAACUACCUAAAAGUUCUAGAAAGGAAAUGAAAAGGAAAGCAUAGUUCCUAAUAAUGGCGAUGUGGAUCAUUCUCUAUGCAAUCUUCUCCUCCCACAUCAAUCUUGACUUUGUUCCAUCUCCAAAUGUCUCAUAGGUAAGUAUUCUUUGGUAUUUUUUGUUCCCCGCUUUGGAUUCCUUCAUUUGUGCAUUCACCUAAUCUCGUUCAGCAGAUCUGAGCUUUUGGUGUUGUUCCAGUUGGGUUUCAUCCUUCUCUUUCAGAAAUCUGUGGUGGUUGUGUUGAAUUUGUUGCUUUCCCCGAGGUAUGAUUAUGCUGUUGCUUGUGUAUUUUUGUGAUUUGCUCUUUCCUGUUGAUGUUGUUUAUACUUGAUUUGCUACUGUUCCGCUGGUUCCCAUGUUUUUUGUUCGCAAUUUUGUCCCAUCUCAGCUGAUAUUUGAUUUGUAUGCUUGAAUCUUGUGCUUUUGUUCAAUGUACCUUUUUUGCCCUUUUUCAAUUAGGAGAGGUAUAUACGAUAUUCUAUGUGUGGUCAAUCAGUUUGCGUGCCCCGAUAAUCGACGUUGCGAUGUGUUAAAGUUGCUAAUUGAACAGGGUAUUGAAGUUUAAGUGGUAAGUGUUACAGGGCGAGGUGACAUUAGUCUCUCUAAAAUUAAAGUUGGAUAAUCCUGAUGUAAUCACAUCAGGGAAAAGGGAGAAAGUGAGUAUACAAGGGUAAGAAGAUUAGGAUGCCCUGA